UACGGGGGGGGGCAAGCGUUGUUCGGAAUUACUGGGCGUAAAGGGCUCGUAGGCGGCCAACUAAGUCAGACGUGAAAUCCCUCGGCUUAACCGGGGAACUGCGUCUGAUACUGGAUGGCUUGAGUUCGGGAGAGGGAUGCGGAAUUCCAGGUGUAGCGGUGGAAAUGCGUAGAUAUCUGGAGGAACACCGGUGGCGAAGGCGGCAUCCUGGACCGACACUGACGCUGAGAGCGAAAGCCAGGGGAGCAAACGGG
RNAcentral lists this ribosomal RNA (254 nucleotides) under uncultured bacterium. RNAcentral describes it as "partial 16S ribosomal RNA". It matches the Rfam family "Bacterial small subunit ribosomal RNA", at positions 524 to 776 of the family's 1533-position model. The record is from RNAcentral.